Molecule: ribosomal RNA, 498 nt
Filed under: uncultured bacterium
Lineage: Bacteria
Description: partial 16S ribosomal RNA
Rfam family: Bacterial small subunit ribosomal RNA
Source: RNAcentral
AGCGAACGCUGGCGGCGUGCCUAACACAUGCAAGUCGAACGUGAAAAGGGAAACCUGAGUACAGUGGCGUACGGGUGAGUAACGCGUGGGUAAUCUACCCCAGAAUCUGGAAUAACCUGCCGAAAGGCGGGCUAAUACUGGAUAGAGCGAGGGAACUCGUAAGAGAGUUUUUCGGGAAAGGGAGCCCGCAAGGGCCUUCGUUCUGGGAUGAGCCUGCGUCUCAUUAGCUAGUUGGUAAGGUAACGGCUUACCAAGGCGAUGAUGAGUAGCUGGUCUGAGAGGAUGAUCAGCCACACUGGAACUGAAACACGGUCCAGACUCCUACGGGAGGCAGCAGUGGGGAAUCUUGCGCAAUGGACGAAAGUCUGACGCAGCCACGCCGCGUGAGUGAAGAAGGCCUUCGGGUUGUAAAGCUCUGUCGGAUGGGACGAACAUCUUCAUAGUGAAUAGCUAGGAGGACUGACGGUACCAUCAAAGGAAGCACCGGCUAACUCCGUG